GACGAACGCUGGCGGCGUGCUUAACACAUGCAAGUCGAACGGAAAGGCCCUGCUUGCAGGGUGCUCGAGUGGCGAACGGGUGAGUAACACGUGGGUGAUCUGCCCCUUACUUUGGGAUAAGCCUGGGAAACUGGGUCUAAUACUGGAUAGGACCAUGCUGUAGGUGGUGUGGUGGAAAGAUUAGUUUCGGUAAGGGAUGAGCUCGCGGCCUAUCAGCUUGUUGGUGGGGUAAUGGCCUACCAAGGCGUCGACGGGUAGCCGGCCUGAGAGGGUGGACGGCCACAUUGGGACUGAGAUACGGCCCAGACUCCUACGGGAGGCAGCAGUGGGGGAUAUUGCACAAUGGGCGCAAGCCUGAUGCAGCGACGCCGCGUGGGGGAUGACGGCCUUCGGGUUGUAAACUCCUCUCAGCCAUGACGAAGCCCUUGUGGUGACGGUAGUGGUAGAAGAAGCACCGGCUAACUACGUG
Molecule: ribosomal RNA, 469 nt
Filed under: uncultured bacterium
Lineage: Bacteria
Description: partial 16S ribosomal RNA
Rfam family: Bacterial small subunit ribosomal RNA
Source: RNAcentral